This 777-nucleotide long non-coding RNA is filed under the name Mytilus galloprovincialis (Mediterranean mussel). Lineage: Eukaryota; Metazoa; Mollusca; Bivalvia; Mytilida; Mytilidae. The record is from RNAcentral.
CGUUUCUAAAAAUAGAUAAAUCAAUUAUUAAUGACCUUGACAUGUCGUUUGGACAAAUAUUUUUGUGGAACGAAACCCGUGUUUAAAACCAAUUACACAAUAAGUUCGUUUUCUUUAUUUGUCAACAGUCCGUAAGAUGCAUCUUCUCAUAGAAAUAGACUUGUCCAAAUGUGGACAGGUGGAAGUUCAGGACAUCAAGUUAAAGUACUGAAUAUUAACAGAUCAUUUAAAAUUUUCUUGUUUCAUAGAUAAUAAAAAAAUUUCGUCCAUUUGGAUAAAAACGGGAAUGCGUGACAACAGAUUAACCCGAUAUUCUCAUUUUUUCCAGUGGACGAGUCUAUUACGUUUUUGACGCGUGUGUUGAAAAUUAUUUUCUUACCACGCUUUUACAUUUAUUUCUUUAUCAGUUUUCGUUCUUGAAGAUCAUUAUUCACCAAGUUUUCUGGAAUUGAUUAAGAGCUAUGUGAAUUUGUCUUCCUUUAUGAAAUUUAAUUACGUCUUUGUCCGUGCACACCCUUUUUUACGGGAAAUUAUUAGGCAAUGUCAUGCAAUUUUUAUUACAACUGAGCAAUAAUAUUUCAUUAAACUAAAAUUUAAGAAAUGAUGACAAAAUAGGAUAACAAACAUAUUAUUAUAGAAAGGUGAAAUAUAUAUUUAUUUUGCAUAUCAGUUUUCUGUCUUGAAAGAUAUUUUUUUUUUUUUUUUUUCCCGACCGACCGACCCAACUUUUUCAUGGAGAAAAUCCGUAAACCAACAAAUUAAAAAACCGUGGCCAAA